AGAGUUUGAUCCUGGCUCAGGAUGAACGCUAGCGGCAGGCUUAAUACAUGCAAGUCGUGGGGCAGCGCGGGUAGCAAUACCUGGCGGCGACCGGCAAACGGGUGAGGAACAUGUACGCAACCUUCCUUUAACUGGAGAAUAGCCCCUCGAAAGAGGGAUUAAUACUCCGUAACAUUGUGACACAGCAUUGUGUUAUAAUUAUAGCUCCGGCGGUUAAAGAUGGGCGUGCACCUGAUUAGAUUGUUGGCGGGGUAACGGCCCACCAAGUCUACGAUCAGUAACUGGUGUGAGAGCACGACCAGUCACACGGGCACUGAGACACGGGUCCGACUCCUACGGGAGGCAGCAGUAAGGAAUAUUGGUCAAUGGACGCAAGUCUGAACCAGCCAUGCCGCGUGGAGGAUUAAGGCCCUCUGGGUUGUAAACUCCUUUUAUCUGGGAAGAAAUGCUUCGAUUCCUCGAAGCUUGACGGUACCAGAGGAAUAAGCACCGGCUAACUCCGUGCCAGCCGCCGCGGUAAUUC
This 523-nucleotide ribosomal RNA is filed under the name uncultured bacterium. RNAcentral describes it as "bacterial SSU rRNA". It matches the Rfam family "Bacterial small subunit ribosomal RNA", at positions 8 to 526 of the family's 1533-position model. The record is from RNAcentral.